RNAcentral lists this ribosomal RNA (1328 nucleotides) under Myroides sp. SCU-B1722. RNAcentral's name for it is "bacterial SSU rRNA". It matches the Rfam family "Bacterial small subunit ribosomal RNA", at positions 68 to 1400 of the family's 1533-position model. Lineage: Bacteria; Pseudomonadati; Bacteroidota; Flavobacteriia; Flavobacteriales; Flavobacteriaceae. The record is from RNAcentral.
GUAUACAAGAGCUUGCUUUCUAGAGACCGCGCGGAUGGGUGAGUAACGCGUAUGCAACCUACCUUUUACAGGGGAAUAGCCCGGAGAAAUUCGGAUUAAUGCUCCAUGGUUUAAUUGAAUGGCAUCGUUUGAUUAAUAAAGAUUUAUCGGUAAAAGAUGGGCAUGCGUAUCAUUAGCUAGUUGGUGUGGUAACGGCAUACCAAGGCUACGAUGAUUAGGGGUCCUGAGAGGGAGAUCCCCCACACUGGUACUGAGACACGGACCAGACUCCUACGGGAGGCAGCAGUGAGGAAUAUUGGUCAAUGGAGGCAACUCUGAACCAGCCAUGCCGCGUGCAGGAUGACGGUCCUAUGGAUUGUAAACUGCUUUUGUACGGGAAGAAAUGUAAUUACGUGUAAUUAUUUGACGGUACCGUAAGAAUAAGGAUCGGCUAACUCCGUGCCAGCAGCCGCGGUAAUACGGAGGAUCCGAGCGUUAUCCGGAAUUAUUGGGUUUAAAGGGUUCGUAGGCGGUUGAGUAAGUCAGUGGUGAAAUCUUAUAGCUUAACUAUAAAAUUGCCGUUGAUACUGCUUGACUUGAAUAGUAUGGAAGUAAUUAGAAUAUGUAGUGUAGCGGUGAAAUGCUUAGAUAUUACAUGGAAUACCAAUUGCGAAGGCAGAUUACUACGUACUUAUUGACGCUGAUGAACGAAAGCGUGGGUAGCGAACAGGAUUAGAUACCCUGGUAGUCCACGCCGUAAACGAUGGAUACUAGCUGUUCGGUUUUCGGACUGAGUGGCUAAGCGAAAGUGAUAAGUAUCCCACCUGGGGAGUACGUUCGCAAGAAUGAAACUCAAAGGAAUUGACGGGGGCCCGCACAAGCGGUGGAGCAUGUGGUUUAAUUCGAUGAUACGCGAGGAACCUUACCAAGGCUUAAAUGUAGAUUGACAGGUUUAGAGAUAGACUUUUCUUCGGACAAUUUACAAGGUGCUGCAUGGUUGUCGUCAGCUCGUGCCGUGAGGUGUCAGGUUAAGUCCUAUAACGAGCGCAACCCCUAUUGUUAGUUGCCAGCGAGUAAUGUCGGGAACUCUAACAAGACUGCCGGUGCAAACCGUGAGGAAGGUGGGGAUGACGUCAAAUCAUCACGGCCCUUACGUCUUGGGCUACACACGUGCUACAAUGGCCAGUACAGAAAGCAGCUACCAGGCAACUGGAUGCGAAUCUCAAAAACUGGUCUCAGUUCGGAUUGGAGUCUGCAACUCGACUCCAUGAAGCUGGAAUCGCUAGUAAUCGGAUAUCAGCCAUGAUCCGGUGAAUACGUUCCCGGGCCUUGUACACACCGCCCGUCAA